This 373-nucleotide ribosomal RNA is filed under the name uncultured organism. Its description in RNAcentral is "partial 16S ribosomal RNA". It matches the Rfam family "Bacterial small subunit ribosomal RNA", at positions 527 to 896 of the family's 1533-position model. The record is from RNAcentral.
GUAGGUGGCAAGCGUUGUCCGGAAUUAUUGGGCGUAAAGCGCGCGCAGGCGGUCCUUUAAGUCUGAUGUGAAAGCCCACGGCUCAACCGUGGAGGGUCAUUGGAAACUGGGGGACUUGAGUACAGAAGAGGAAAGCGGAAUUCCAAGUGCAGCGGUGAAAUGCGUAGAGAUUUGGAGGAACACCAGUGGCGAAGGCGGCUUUCUGGUCUGUAACUGACGCUGAGGCGCGAAAGCGUGGGGAGCAAACAGGGAUUAGAUACCCUGGUAGUCCACGCCGUAAACGAUGAGUGCUAAGUGUUAGGGGGUUUCCGCCCCCUUAGUGCUGCAGCUAACGCAUUAAGCACUCCGCCUGGGGAGUACGGCCGCAAGGCUG